Non-coding RNA from Ceratotherium simum simum (southern white rhinoceros), 450 nucleotides. Lineage: Eukaryota; Metazoa; Chordata; Mammalia; Perissodactyla; Rhinocerotidae. The record is from the annotation of a RefSeq genome assembly.
UCCACCAUGGGCUGCAGGCUGCACUGCUGUGUGGCCCUCUGUCUCCUGGGAACAGUCCCCAUGGACAGUGGAAUUACUCAGAACCCAAAACACUUGGUCAUGGGAAUGAGAAAUAAGAAGUGUUUGCAAUGUGACCAACAUCUGGGAUAUGAUUAUAUGUAUUGGUAUAAACAGAGUGCUCAGAAGCCACUAGGACUCAUGUUUGUCUACAGCUAUAAGAAACUCGCUGCGAGUGUUCCAAGUCGCUUCUUACCUGAAUGUCCAGACAGCUCCCUCUUAUACCUUCACAUGGAUGACCUGGAGCCAGAAGACUCUGCCGUGUAUUUCUGUACCAGCAGCAAAGACACAGCCUUGCAGAGUCACUUUCUCCCUGUGCACAAACCUCCUGGGUCCAGCCAGGAAGCUGUGGGGCAACCAAGGCUCAGUUCAACAUUUCCUGUAGGGCCCUAG